CAUUAUUUAAGAAAACUUAUAUGGAUUUCUUACUUUGUGAAGCAUGUUAGCUACCUAAACAUAUAAAAAGUUCAUAUCAUGUGAGUUAACUAGUGAUAUUGAAGGUAUGAAUAGGUAUUUGAGAUAAUAGAAGAGAUUGUAGAUGAAAUUGUUAUUCAUGUUAAUCAAGUUGAAUUUUCUAGCAUCAGACCUCUCAAUUUACUUGUAAGCAAUGAUGUCAUUAAGGAGAUGUUCUCAUCAAGAAGAAAGAGACUCUGUCUAAAGAUAAUGGUCCAUUUGGCUCGUAACAGCAAUGUGAAAAGUUUGAUUGCUUCCCUUUUAUGAAUUUUGAAUUCCUAAUUGGUUCUUUACAUCUCCAGAAUCAUUAAUUUGAGAACGAUUCAUGUUUUUUCAUUACAAUUUCAAAUUCCACAACCUUCAGUUGUUAAAAAAAAC
RNAcentral lists this long non-coding RNA (435 nucleotides) under Carica papaya (papaya). RNAcentral's name for it is "long non-coding RNA (CPAP_LNC014937)". Lineage: Eukaryota; Viridiplantae; Streptophyta; Magnoliopsida; Brassicales; Caricaceae. The record is from RNAcentral.